UACGUAGGGUCCGAGCGUUGUCCGGAAUUACUGGGCGUAAAGAGCUCGUAGGCGGUUUGUCGCGUCGUCCGUGAAAACUCACAGCUCAACUGUGGGCGUGCGGGCGAUACGGGCAGACUUGAGUACUGCAGGGGAGACUGGAAUUCCUGGUGUAGCGGUGGAAUGCGCAGAUAUCAGGAGGAACACCGGUGGCGAAGGCGGGUCUCUGGGCCGAUACUGACGCUGAGGAGCGAAAGCGUGGGGAGCGAACAGG
Molecule: ribosomal RNA, 253 nt
Filed under: uncultured bacterium
Lineage: Bacteria
Description: partial 16S ribosomal RNA
Rfam family: Bacterial small subunit ribosomal RNA
Source: RNAcentral